Molecule: ribosomal RNA, 497 nt
Filed under: uncultured bacterium
Lineage: Bacteria
Description: partial 16S ribosomal RNA
Rfam family: Bacterial small subunit ribosomal RNA
Source: RNAcentral
GAUGAACGCUGGCGGCGUGCCUAAUACAUGCAAGUCGAGCGAACAGAUAAGGAGCUUGCUCCUUUGACGUUAGCGGCGGACGGGUGGGUAACACGUGGGUAACCUACCUAUAAGACUGGGAUAACUUCGGGAAACCGGAGCUAAUACCGGAUAAUAUUUCGAACCGCAUGGUUCGAUAGUGAAAGAUGGUUUUGCUAUCACUUAUAGAUGGACCCGCGCCGUAUUAGCUAGUUGGUAAGGUAACGGCUUACCAAGGCGACGAUACGUAGCCGACCUGAGAGGGUGAUCGGCCACACUGGAACUGAGACACGGUCCAGACUCCUACGGGAGGCAGCAGUAGGGAAUCUUCCGCAAUGGGCGAAAGCCUGACGGAGCAACGCCGCGUGAGUGAUGAAGGUCUUCGGAUCGUAAAACUCUGUUAUUAGGGAAGAACAUACGUGUAAGUAACUGUGCACGUCUUGACGGUACCUAAUCAGAAAGCCACGGCUAACUACGUG